RNAcentral lists this ribosomal RNA (478 nucleotides) under uncultured bacterium. Its description in RNAcentral is "partial 16S ribosomal RNA". It matches the Rfam family "Bacterial small subunit ribosomal RNA", at positions 28 to 523 of the family's 1533-position model. The record is from RNAcentral.
GACGAACGCUGGCGGCGUGCUUAACACAUGCAAGUCGAACGGUAAGGCCCUUCGGGGUACACGAGUGGCGAACGGGUGAGUAACACGUGGGUGAUCUGCCCUGCACUUCGGGAUAAGCCCGGGAACCUGGGUCUAAUACCGGAUAGGACCAAUGCCUGCAUGGGUGGUGGUGGAAAGCUUUUGCGGUGUGGGAUGGGCCCGCGGCCUAUCAGCUUGUUGGUGGGGUGAUGGCCUACCAAGGCGACGACGGGUAGCCGGCCUGAGAGGGUGACCCGCGACACUGGGGCUGAGAUACGGCCCAGACUCCUACGGGAGGCAGCAGGGGGGAAUAUUGCACAAUGGUCGCAAGCCUGAUGCAUCGACGCCGCGUGAGGGAGGACGGCCUUCGGGUUGUAAACCUCUUUCAGCACCGACGAAGCGCAAGUGACGGUAGGUGCAGAAGAAGGACCGGCCAACUACGUGCCAGCAGCCGCGGAGA